GGGGAUAUAACUUAAUGGUAGAGUGCAGUACUUAGCAUGCAUGAGGUCCUGGGUUCUAUUCCAGUACCUCCA
This 72-nucleotide transfer RNA is filed under the name Camelus bactrianus (Bactrian camel). It matches the Rfam family "tRNA". Rfam says of the family: Transfer RNA (tRNA) molecules are approximately 80 nucleotides in length. Their secondary structure includes four short double-helical elements and three loops (D, anti-codon, and T loops). Further hydrogen bonds mediate the characteristic L-shaped molecular structure. tRNAs have two regions of fundamental functional importance: the anti-codon, which is responsible for specific mRNA codon recognition, and the 3' end, to which the tRNAs corresponding amino acid is attached (by aminoacyl-tRNA synthetases). tRNAs cope with the degeneracy of the genetic code in two manners: having more than one tRNA (with a specific anti-codon) for a particular amino acid; and 'wobble' base-pairing, i.e. permitting non-standard base-pairing at the 3rd anti-codon position. Lineage: Eukaryota; Metazoa; Chordata; Mammalia; Artiodactyla; Camelidae. The record is from Rfam by way of RNAcentral. RNAcentral also lists the same sequence under 2 other names.